AGGAAACUGAUUUCCUAUGGUGUUUUAGAGUAUUGAAUCUCAUCUAGCACCAUUUGAAAUCGGUGUUCU
Non-coding RNA from Takifugu rubripes (torafugu), 69 nucleotides. Lineage: Eukaryota; Metazoa; Chordata; Actinopteri; Tetraodontiformes; Tetraodontidae. The record is from Rfam.